RNAcentral lists this long non-coding RNA (3398 nucleotides) under Brassica napus (rape). RNAcentral's name for it is "long non-coding RNA (BNAP_LNC021858)". Lineage: Eukaryota; Viridiplantae; Streptophyta; Magnoliopsida; Brassicales; Brassicaceae. The record is from RNAcentral.
UCACUACUACUCUCUGCUACGUUCCAGUCAUUCCCUUUCUUCACCAAACCAUCAACAUCAUGAACUUCCUCACUACACUCCCACGGAAUCUUCAACAUCCGAGCCUCUUCAAUAGGGACAAGGUUACUACAACCACUCCAACUCCUGUCUCUCCGCCCUCGUUUCAAACCAGACUUAACCUCAUCAUCAGGAGGCGUAAAGUAAGCCCCUUCUAAAUCACUAAUCAGUUCAGGGUCAACCGUAGUGUCCCAAUCCACAUCACUGACGUAAAGAUCCGGAUCAGGAAGAGAUAUAUCACAGUGAACUCCAUUAACAUGUGACCAAAACCGUUUCUUCUCGUUGUGGAAAGUCUCUUGACAAGCGGAAUCAUCCCAAGUGAUUACGUUACCUGUGUACCAGCUCUUGAAGUUCGUAGCUUCAACAACUUUUGGCCAUGGCACUGAUCCAAUCACUUCGCAGAAUCUCUUCUCCCAUACUGGAAUCCCAUCGUCUUCACCAUAUCCUUAUACAAUACAGUAAAGACAGUGAACAAUAGCUCCUCAAACAAUCGUAGGAGACGGAAACUAAAACGAAUUAAGAUCAUAUUACCAGAAGAAGAAGGUCUUUCGCUAUACCAUCGCGAAGGAGAUCUGCGACGGUUGAAUCUGGAUCGAUUGUUCCACUUUCCCAUCGAGAAGCCUCAAAGGGAUGACGAUUGAUGUUUCGAGGACAAAAGAAUGGUUGAGAUGGGAGAAACUAGGGCCUGCGGCGGGAGAAUUUGGGAGGAGCUGACGACGGAGCGAAUUGGAUACUGCAGAAGGAGGAGUGAGAGCAUCAUUAACCUAGAUCCUAGAUCUCUUUUUUUUUUUUUAAUAUUAAAUAUGAGGUAAGAGACUCGCUAAUUUAUGAAACAGAGCAACUACGUUCAGACGAGGAGGAACCAUAAGAGGCUCUGGAUCGAACACGCCGAUAGCAUCUCGUGCCUUGCGGUACACGCAGGGAUAAUCUACUCAGGGUCUUGGGAUAAGACGCUUAAAGUGUGGAGAUUGUCGGAUCUUAAGUGUCUUGAGUCGAUCAAGGCACAUGACGAUGCUAUUAACGGCCUUGUUGCCGGAGAAGGCAGAGUAUACUCUGCUUCUGCGGACGGGAAGAUCAAGAUUUGGGGGAAAGAGAAGAGGAAGAAAGCUGAUUCGUCUUUGUCUUCUUCUUCUUCUUCUUCUUGGUCACAUGUUCUGAAGGCGACACUGGAGGGUCAUGCGGAGGUUUCUGUGAACUCGGUGGUGGUUUCCGGCGAGGGGAGGUGGGUAUACGGAGGAGGGUCAGAUGGGUUUGUGAUGGGAUGGGAGAGGAGUGAGAAAGGAGGAGACUUUGAGGAAUGGAGAUUAGGGUUUGAGACGAGAGGACAUAAGAUGGCAGUUCUGUGUAUGUGUGUGGUUGGGGAAAUGGUGUGCAGUGGAUCGGCUGAUAAGAGCAUUGGGCUGUGGAAGAGAGAAGAGAGUGGCAGGCUCUGUAAAUUUGGAGUCAUUCAAGGGCAUGAAGGUCCGGUCAAAUGCUUGCAAGCUUCUCCCAAUAAUGUUGGUGCUGGAUUCAUGCUUUACAGUGGAAGUCUUGACAAGAGCAUAAGGGUUUGGUGGGUUUCAAAACAAGACUGUGUAGAAGAAGAGAAGAAGAAAACAAGUUUUAGGACAUUGUUGAUGCAACAGGGAUGAGUAGGAAGAUGUUAUAUUUGGUGUUUCUUUUUUGUGGGUUUUCAUAUACGUUUUAUGAUAUAUUUGUAAUUUGUUAUUCAAUUUGUAAAGUUUUUUUCCAAGAUAUAAAUGAUAUUGAUUCGUUUUGAUAGACUUUGUGUCUACGAACUGUUUUGGUCCUAGUGAUAAAGUCUUAUACUCUGCUUUGGGGUUGCCUUUGCUUUGUAUUGAAACUGUAGCAAUGGGAUGAUGGCUUCUGCGUUGGACAAAACUAUUUUGUUUAGCCUACUUUUUGAGCAUUGAUCACCGUCCAAUUAUCGAAACAAGAGUUAUGCAACUCCUCAAUCAUUAACAUGCUUUAACCAUGUUCCAAUUAAUGUCUUUUUUAUUAUUUAAGCAGGUACCCAUCAUAAUGGACCAACCUGGUGUUUUGAAAGUGAAGCAUAUAUCUCCAUUGUUUAAUCAAGAAAAAGCAGAGUUCCUCAGUUUUCAAUAUAAAAGUGAGAUGAGAAAGCUUUGAAGGGAUGCAUGUAGCCAAAAGCAGAAGUGCUAACAUGUAUAUAUGCCUUUUUUUAUGAAGUUGGAAGAGAUUAGGUGAAAUGUGAUUAAAACCACCCUAGAAAGAUACAUUAUCAUAUUCUAGUUAUAAAGGCAAAAACUUUGGAUAGUUUAGUAUGAAACAUCAUCAUCAAAAAGGGUAUAUGACCUAUGAAAGAGAAACAUAAACCCUAUCUUUGAAUUUCUAUAGGCAUCUUAAUGCCUCACAACUUAAACUAAUACAACAUCAAAACAUCCCCGAGAACUAUGGAUUACAUUACCUACUUAGAUGAGAAAUUGACUUUCCUGCUCUGAUAAUCAUCUCUUAUAGGCCUUGAGUUUCUGUAGUUACUGUUGUAUCGAUAUGAUUCAUCUCUUUCUCUGUUUCGCCUACCCCAACCAUCACUGGAUCGUUUCACAUCCCAUUCUCUUCGAUUCGUCUCACUCACUCUACGUGUUUGCCAACCGCCUGCAUUAGGCCCAUACUCUCUCCGAGCUGUAUUGCCAGGCCCAAAGCCAGCUUUCCAUGGAUUAUAACUCCUUGGCUCCCUAUAAUCCUGACUACAUUUCGUACGACGCCACUCAUUCAUCUCCAAAUCUCGCUUUUCCCAUCCAUCACUGCCACCACCUCUAUCAUCCCAACCCUUACCAGACCAACCUCCCCAAGUCGUAUCUUCUGCUGUCUCCUUUCUACAGCUAAGCUUGGCUUCCCAAGGAUUGUCGAGCAUUUCAUCCUCUCUGGCUGGCACACUUUCAGAACCUUUUGCCUUCUUGUUUUGUUGUCCUGACGUAUCCCAUCCAUCGUUUCCCUGGCCCCAUCUGUCAUUACCCUUAUCUUCAGUUUUCCACUCAAUCUCCUUCCAUAAGCAAUCCCCAGACAUUGUAUCAUUUGCUUUCUCGUUACCAAAACUAGGCUUAGCUUCCCACGGCCUUGUCCUAUCAUUAGGAUGAUCACUACUACUCUCUGCUACGUUCCAGUCAUUCCCUUUCUUCACCAAACCAUCAACAUCAUGAACUUCCUCACUACACUCCCACGGAAUCUUCAACAUCCGAGCCUCUUCAAUAGGGACAAGGUUACUACAACCACUCCAACUCCUGUCUCUCCGCCCUCGUUUCAAACCAGACUUAACCUCAUCAUCAGGAGGCGUAAAGUAAGCCCCUUCUAAAUCACUAAUCAGUUCAGGGUCAACCGUA